This 303-nucleotide ribosomal RNA is filed under the name uncultured bacterium. Its description in RNAcentral is "partial 16S ribosomal RNA". It matches the Rfam family "Bacterial small subunit ribosomal RNA", at positions 507 to 807 of the family's 1533-position model. The record is from RNAcentral.
AGCAGCCGCCGCGGGAAAACGAAGGGGGCUAGCGUUGUUCGGAUUUACUGGGCGUAAAGCGCACGUAGGCGGACUUUUAAGUCAGGGGUGAAAUCCCGGGGCUCAACCCCGGAACUGCCUUUGAUACUGGAAGUCUUGAGUAUGGUAGAGGUGAGUGGAAUUCCGAGUGUAGAGGUGAAAUUCGUAGAUAUUCGGAGGAACACCAGUGGCGAAGGCGGCUCACUGGACCAUUACUGACGCUGAGGUGCGAAAGCGUGGGGAGCAAACAGGAUUAGAUACCCCUGUAGUCCCUGUCUCUUAUAC